RNAcentral lists this ribosomal RNA (373 nucleotides) under uncultured prokaryote. Its description in RNAcentral is "bacterial SSU rRNA". It matches the Rfam family "Bacterial small subunit ribosomal RNA", at positions 524 to 896 of the family's 1533-position model. The record is from RNAcentral.
UACGGAGGGAGCUAGCGUUGUUCGGAAUUACUGGGCGUAAAGAGUACGUAGGCGGUGAUUCAAGUCAGAGGUGAAAGCCUGGAGCUCAACUCCAGAACUGCCUUUGAAACUAGAUCGCUAGAAUUGUGGAGAGGUUAGUGGAAUUCCGAGUGUAGAGGUGAAAUUCGUAGAUAUUCGGAAGAACACCAGUGGCGAAGGCGACUAACUGGACACAUAUUGACGCUGAGGUACGAAAGCGUGGGGAGCAAACAGGAUUAGAUACCCUGGUAGUCCACGCCGUAAACGAUGAUAACUAGCUGUUCGGGGUCUACGAUCCUGAGUGGCGCAGCUAACGCAUUAAGUUAUCCGCCUGGGGAGUACGGUCGCAAGAUUA